GUACACGCUGUGACUAGCAUAUCAAUAAGCGGAGGAAAAGAAACUAACAAGGAUUCCCCUAGUAACGGCGAGUGAAGCGGGAAGAGCUCAAAUUUGAAAUCUUAAAGGGUUUCCCUUUACGAAUUGUAGUUUAAAGAAGUGUUUUCUGUUGAGGUUUUGGUAAAAGUUCCUUGGAAUAGGACAUCAUAGAGGGUGAGAAUCCCGUAUUUGACCUUUACUUUCAACUUUGUGAUACACUUUCAAAGAGUCGGAUUGUUUGGGAAUGCAGUCCAAAAUGGGUGGUAAAUUUCAUCUAAAGCUAAAUAUUGGCGAGAGACCGAUAGCGAACAAGUACCGUGAGGGAAAGAUGAAAAGAACUUUGAAAAGAGAGUUAAACAGUACGUGAAAUUGUCAAAAGGGAAGCGUUUGACACCAGUGUUGUUUUUCUGAAAAUCAAUUAAAGAACUGUUUAUGCUAAGCUGUUUAGACUUUAUCAGCUAACUGUUUAGUUUUGAGCUUUUCUUUAAUGCACUUUUCAGUUAACAAGUCAACAUCAAUUUCUUUUGCUGUAAAAAAGCUUGAGGAAGGUGGCUUGAGAUUCGUCUUAAGUGUUUAUAGCCUCUUGCCUAUGCAGUCGGAGAGAUUGAGGUCUGCAGCGUAGAUCCUUCGGGGCUAAAUGCAUUUGUGCUAAGUUAUAGCAUUUUAUAGACAACUUGUUGACUAUGAUUUGUCUUGUAGCUUACUCGCUUAUGUUAUUUUACCUACGCUUAGGAUGUUGAAGAUGUAGCACAUCAU
This 774-nucleotide ribosomal RNA is filed under the name uncultured Neocallimastigales. RNAcentral's name for it is "partial large subunit ribosomal RNA". It matches the Rfam family "Eukaryotic large subunit ribosomal RNA", at positions 22 to 635 of the family's 3401-position model. Lineage: Eukaryota; Fungi; Neocallimastigomycota; Neocallimastigomycetes; Neocallimastigales. The record is from RNAcentral.